GCGUCUGUGGCUCAACUGGAUAGAGCAUCGGGUUUCGGCCCCGGCGGUUACAGGUUCGACUCCUGUCAGGCGUA
Molecule: transfer RNA, 74 nt
Filed under: Arcobacter venerupis
Lineage: Bacteria; Pseudomonadati; Campylobacterota; Epsilonproteobacteria; Campylobacterales; Arcobacteraceae
Description: tRNA-Arg
Rfam family: tRNA
About the family: Transfer RNA (tRNA) molecules are approximately 80 nucleotides in length.
Source: RNAcentral